AUGGAAUGGCAGAUUUAAUGCAUAAGCUUUAAGCGCUUAGUAUGACUAGAAGUCUUCCAUU
RNAcentral lists this transfer RNA (61 nucleotides) under Phyllidiella pustulosa. RNAcentral's name for it is "tRNA-Leu". Lineage: Eukaryota; Metazoa; Mollusca; Gastropoda; Nudibranchia; Phyllidiidae. The record is from RNAcentral.